This 3128-nucleotide long non-coding RNA is filed under the name Homo sapiens (human). RNAcentral describes it as "long non-coding RNA NONHSAT173391.1". The record is from RNAcentral. Lineage: Eukaryota; Metazoa; Chordata; Mammalia; Primates; Hominidae.
UGGAGCUCAAGGCAGGCAUCUGUGUGACCUUGCACGGUUAACGUGCCCUUUCCGCCUCAGUUGGUGGUCCCUCAAGGCCGUGGCUCCUGGCCUCACAAAGGGUGGUUCGGGGCAAGGGUGACCCACCCAUCACUGAUGCCCCUGGCACCUCUAGGGCUAUACCCCAGUGCCACUAGUCACUCCUCUGGGCUCUGCAGAGCAGUGGUAGCCCCACUGCCUGGCCAUGGAGGCUCCUAGCAGGACCAGACAAGGGGAAUCUGGGGGAACGUCUUGGAGUCUGUGGCUGUCCUCGCUGUGACCUUGCAGGGCCAUGCUUCCCUCUGCAGCCAGGAAGGAAGCGGAGGAAAACCCGAGUGAUGGGGUUGGCUUCUGGAGGGCCUGUCCUUCCUCCCAGGGGACAUGGGCCCUGCUGCCUCAUCUUCUUCUUGGUCCUUCCAGCUCUUCAGUUUCCCCAUCUAGCAUCCUCGUCCUCUUGCAGUCUUUUCUCCACUUAAUUCAGCUUGUCUGCCCGCCUCCGUUUAUUAAGCUCCUAUUGUGUGCUUAGGAGUAUGCUCAGAGUACAAACAGAGGAUGGGACCUGGUUCCCAUCUGUGGUUGUCGCACAUUCAUUUAUUCGCACAGCCAGCACGUUACAGCCUACGGGGCUCUCUGCAUGGCUAAGCUCUAGAAACGCAGGGUCUUGUUGCAAGUCUGGCUUAUUCCUCUCUCAGCAGGUCCAAGCUCCCUGUUCCUGCCAGGUACUGAACUGACUGGUUACGAAAUGCUCACAGCCAGACAGGGAAGGGCAGAGGCACCAGGCACUCAGGUUCUCGGUGAAAAGUGCCACAAGAGAGGAAGUUCAAGGUGCCUCAGGAACAGUCUUUCCGGAGGUCAUGAAGUUGGACUUGGGUUUCGAAGGAUGUGCAGGAGUUGUGAGGUGGAGAGCAGAGGACAGAGUGAUGGAGACUGGAGGAGGACCUUGAGCUGCCUCUGGGAGAAGCUUGAGCACACCAGAGAAUUAGGCAAGGGCCUCUUCGUCUGGGGACCGGGGGGAUCAGAGGUGGGUGAUUUCCUGGACAGUGUGGCCAGAGAGGGAAGGUGAAACAGCAGAAGACCCCCCCAUUCUAACAGCCCCCCGGGGGUCAGAUUUGGGAUGAGGGCCAUCAACAGCCCUGGCCUUUCGUUUUUAAGUUGUUAGUGUUUGCAGUGAUUCUUUCCCGCUCCAUGAGGCAACAUGGUACAAAUUACACCAGGAGAAGCGGGUCCAGAGCUGCCGUCCGCAGACCUUUCUGUCAUGCUGGGAAGUAUCCAUGUCUGCAGCGUCCCGUGUGCUACCAAUGAGCUACCCACAGCCUGGGCAACGCAGGAAUGGAAUUUUAAUUUUAUUUCAUGUUAAUUAGCUUAACUUUGAAUUGAAAUCAUCACCUGUGGCUAUUCUACUGGACAGCUCAGGUCUGGAGUCAGAGACCCUCUCCCUGCCCCCAGCCAGCCCCUCCCCAUCCUGGAUGGGCUGUUGAGCCGGGCCGGUGAGAAUUUUCUGAGCAACGUCCCUGCCACCAAGAUGCAAGAGGCUAGUGGCCCCUGCCUGUCAGUGGGCACUGGGGGCUGGGGGGCUGCCUAGAAACCAGGUGGUACAUGGCUCCAGCACCAUCUGCCUCUGCAGUUCUCAGAACCGCUGCAGAAGCUCUCAAGCAGAGACAGGCAGUGGCAUAUCGCCCUUCCAAGGAGCAGGGACUGUGCAGCCAUCGGACCCAGACACACAGCCAGUGCCCACCCCGCAGCGCCUGCCCCACAGCCCCCGCCCCAUAGCACCCACCCCACAAGCCGUGCUUCAUUCGUGAAGUUGCUACGCGGCCCGCGCCUCCUUCACAAGAGGAUGGGCUCUUCCCAGCUGAACCCCCAGUGUGGUGACUCAGACCCCGUCUGAACUGGGGUGAAUAUAGCGUCCCCUCAAACGUCAUGUCUGCCCAGAACCUCAGAACGUGACCCUAUUUGGAAAUUGGGUUUUUGCAGAUGUCAUCGAGUUGAGAUGAGGUCACAUGGGACUAGGGUGGGCCCUAAAUCCAAUCUGAUUGGUAGUUUUUAGGAGAAGAGGAGAGACAGGCAGGAAAGGCCACGUGAAGACAGGCGAGAGUGUAGCCGUGGCAGCCACAGCCACGCAGCGCCCACACCCACCGGGAGUGGGAAUGAGGCAGGAAGGACCUACCUCCUUUAGAGCCUUCUGUGGGGGCACAGCCCUGCCCACCCCUGGAUUUCAGACUUCUGGGCUUCAGAACUGAGAGAGAAGAAAGAUCUGUGGCUUUAUGCUAUUUGCAGUCCUGUGUUAUGGUGGGCCCUGGAGACAUACAGGUGGGGGUGGUGGCAGAUACCUGCCUUGGCCUGCUGGCUGCUGCUCCAGCCUCCCUUGCGCUAGAUGUUGAGAGGCUGAGGGGCCCAGGAGCACCUCAUGUUUUCUGUGUUCCCUGGAGGAGACAACGUUCUAUAAAUCAACAAGAGCUGCUAGGUGCUCAUGUGGGCAGGUGGGGCCUUCACGGAUGCCAGGAGCUGGGACCCGUCUAUCCCUGAUUCUGCUGCCCUGGGGCACACCCCUGGGCCUUCGUCUCCUCAUGUGUAAAAGGGGCAGCAGGGUAGAGCAGGUGAUGUCCGCAGAAGCGCCCAUUCCUGCACCCCCUUCAGAGGUCUAGAUCCUCAACUUGACCUCCCAGGCCCAGGGCAUCGUAGCCAGAAGGAAUGAUGAUGUAGGAGGCUGUCACCAUGGUCCGCCUGCCUGGCUCCCAGGCCAGCCCCUCGCUCGCUAGCUCCUGCUGCUCCUGAGGAGGUGCCCGGUCACCGCAGAGAGGCACCCCGAGUGGAGGCGGCCACACCACGAGUGGAUGCUGUGGCUGCCCCGACUUUGAUCCCAGGGCGGGAACGGAGAGCACUGUGACUCCAGCCCUGGCUCGGAGCACCAUGUCCGUCAAUAGAAGAGGAAGGCUUUGUGCAGCAGUAGCGUGGGGCCUGCCGGGCAAUUGAUUUAAAUCAUUUUAUAGAGAACCUAUGUAAAAUAAAAAGCCUUUAAUCACAUUUGUAUCCAUUUCCAGGCUCAGUAAAUCAAUUUGAAUUGAGCUGGGUGCCACGGUUACAGCUGAUUAGCGUGUGUAUGUAUGGUC